CACUAAGAAGCUAAACAGGACCUAGCGUUAGCCUUUUAAGCUAAAGAUUGGUGCUUCCGACCACCCUUAGUGA
Molecule: transfer RNA, 73 nt
Filed under: Gymnothorax reticularis
Lineage: Eukaryota; Metazoa; Chordata; Actinopteri; Anguilliformes; Muraenidae
Also listed under: 6 other names
Description: tRNA-Lys
Rfam family: tRNA
About the family: Transfer RNA (tRNA) molecules are approximately 80 nucleotides in length.
Source: RNAcentral